CCUACGGGUGGCUGCAGUGGGGAAUAUUGGACAAUGGGGGAAACCCUGAUCCAGCAAUGCCGCGUGUGUGACGAAGGCCUGCGGGUUGUAAAGCACUUUCGGUUGGGAAGAAAAGUUUGGCGCCAAUACCGCCGAACCUUGACGUUACUGCCAGAAGAAGCACCGGCUAACUCUGUGCCAGCAGCCGCGGUAAUACAGAGGGUGCCAGCGUUCGUCGGAAUCGCUGAGCGUAUCGCGUGCGUCGGGUGUCAAAUCCCCGGGCUUAACCUGGGAACUGCAGUCGAUACUACAUGGCUAGAGUAUGGUAGAGGGAAGUGGAAUUUCCGGUGUAGCGGUGAAAUGCGUAGAUAUCGGAAGGAACACCAAUGGCGAAGGCAGCUUCCUGGACUAAGACUGACACUGAGGCACGAAAGCGUGGGUAGCAAACAGGAUUAGAUACCCCGGUAGUC
This 449-nucleotide ribosomal RNA is filed under the name uncultured bacterium. RNAcentral's name for it is "partial 16S ribosomal RNA". It matches the Rfam family "Bacterial small subunit ribosomal RNA", at positions 338 to 795 of the family's 1533-position model. The record is from RNAcentral.